RNAcentral lists this ribosomal RNA (254 nucleotides) under uncultured bacterium. RNAcentral describes it as "partial 16S ribosomal RNA". It matches the Rfam family "Bacterial small subunit ribosomal RNA", at positions 524 to 777 of the family's 1533-position model. The record is from RNAcentral.
GACAGAGGGUGCAAACGUUGUUCGGAAUUACUGGGCGUAAAGGGCGCGUAGGCGGCCUGCUAAGUCGAACGUGAAAUCCCCGGGCUCAACCCGGGAACUGCGUCCGAUACUGACAGGCUUGAAUCCGGGAGAGGGAUGCGGAAUUCCAGGUGUAGCGGUGAAAUGCGUAGAUAUCUGGAGGAACACCGGUGGCGAAGGCGGCAUCCUGGACCGGCAUUGACGCUGAGGCGCGAAAGCCAGGGGAGCAAAGCGGG